RNAcentral lists this unclassified non-coding RNA (264 nucleotides) under uncultured fungus. RNAcentral's name for it is "sequence contains ITS1, 5.8S rRNA gene". The stretch from base 216 to 264 matches the Rfam family "5.8S ribosomal RNA", at positions 1 to 49 of the family's 154-position model. The record is from RNAcentral. Lineage: Eukaryota; Fungi.
UCUCCGUUGGUGAACCAGCGGAGGGAUCAUUACAGAGUUUAUCAAACUCCCAAACCCAUGUGAACAUACCUUACCUUACGUUGCCUCGGCAGGUCGCGCCUACCUCGUAGCCCCUACCCUGUAGGUCCUACCCGGGAGACGCGGGUAAGCCUGCCGGCGGCCCACGAAACUCUGUAUACUUAUUGAAUCUCUGAUCUUAUAACUAAAUAAGUUAAAACUUUCAACAACGGAUCUCUUGGUUCUGGCAUCGAUGAAGAACGCAGC